RNAcentral lists this ribosomal RNA (960 nucleotides) under Triticum aestivum (bread wheat). RNAcentral describes it as "partial small subunit ribosomal RNA". The record is from RNAcentral. Lineage: Eukaryota; Viridiplantae; Streptophyta; Magnoliopsida; Poales; Poaceae.
AUGGCGAGCAAGGCGGACUUGGCCGAGUCCAUGCUUUCCUGGUUAGGGAGAGCCUCCAACACAAGAAGUUGUUUGUGUCUUCGUCCGAGCCAAUUUCAGUUACAAAUCCCCGAGUUAAGCUACAUGUGGCUAACAACAUUGCAUAUGAAGCUCUCGUCUUUGACUAUAAGUUUGACAUGUGGUAAGCCACCGCCUUCCUCUCCUGAGCUUUCUCUUGUGCUCUUUGUGUCCACGCCAUGGCCAUCUUGCCAUGCUAGGUUCUACCCUGUCCAUGGAAAUUUCUAUGAUUGGGCUUGUGGUGAUGGUCUGCUAUGUCACUGUUUCACACAAUGCACGGGCAUAAUAGAGAGAGAGAGAGAGCAUCAUGACUUCCAUGGCUUGAACUAUUUUGCUGAUAUCCUGGAAAAAUUGAUGGUUGAUCGAGGGUCGAAUAAUGGACGUAACACAGCUGCUAGAGAAGAGAUUAUAAUAUGGAAAACAGCAGAUGAGGAGGAAGCUGAAGUUGGUACAUCAAGUGAGCAAGAGUUCCAGACCCAGACAAGAAAAGUAGCUCAAACCUUCUACUGUCGCAGUCGCUGUAGUAGAGCAAUCGCUGCCUCAAACUUCAGAGAAGAUGGGCAUGAAUGGAUGUUUUGGUUGCAGGUUACACCAAGAACAAGUGCCUCAGAUCAUUCAUUUUUCAGGCAGCGGAAGGAUCACUCCCACUCCCCUCGCGUCGCCCACCUGAGGGCGACUCGAGGGUACCCUCGCCCCAUCCGCCGUGACCACCCCUCUAAGGAUCUCACCGCCUCGACCAAAAUAAUUUCGAUUGCAGGAGCUGAUUUUUUGGUGUUCAGACAUUCAGAGAUUGCUGGAAGUGUUGCACUUCCUUCAUUUGGGGAGCACAAGACUUCAGUUGUCGAAAUGGCUACAACUAAUUGCAAGUAUAUAAACAAGGGAGCGUUCUAUGAUGUGACGUGA